GUAGUCCACGCCGUAAACGAUGCUCACUCGCUGUUUGCGAUACACAGCAAGCGGCCAAGCGAAAGCAUUAAGUGAGCCACCUGGGGAGUACGAUCGCAAGGUUGAAACUCAAAGGAAUUGACGGGGGCCCGCACAAGCGGAGGAACAUGUGGUUUAAUUCGAUGAUACGCGAGGAACCUUACCUGGGCUUAAAUGUAGAACGACAGAUUGUGAAAGCAGUCCUUCUUCGGACGUUUUACAAGGUGCUGCAUGGUUGUCGUCAGCUCGUGCCGUGAGGUGUCGGGUUAAGUCCCAUAACGAGCGCAACCCUUAUCGUUAGUUGCCAGCGGGUCAAGCCGGGGACUCUAGCGAGACUGCCACCGUAAGGUGUGA
This 372-nucleotide ribosomal RNA is filed under the name uncultured bacterium. RNAcentral's name for it is "bacterial SSU rRNA". It matches the Rfam family "Bacterial small subunit ribosomal RNA", at positions 790 to 1167 of the family's 1533-position model. The record is from RNAcentral.